GAUGAACGCUGGCGGCGUGCUUAACACAUGCAAGUCGAACGAAGCACUUUAUUUGAUUUCCUUCGGGACUGAUUAUUUUGUGACUGAGUGGCGGACGGGUGAGUAACGCGUGGGUAACCUGCCUUGUACAGGGGGAUAACAGUUGGAAACGGCUGCUAAUACCGCAUAAGCGCACAGCAUCGCAUGAUGCAGUGUGAAAAACUCCGGUGGUAUAAGAUGGACCCGCGUUGGAUUAGCUAGUUGGUGAGGUAACGGCCCACCAAGGCGACGAUCCAUAGCCGACCUGAGAGGGUGACCGGCCACAUUGGGACUGAGACACGGCCCAAACUCCUACGGGAGGCAGCAGUGGGGAAUAUUGCACAAUGGGCGAAAGCCUGAUGCAGCGACGCCGCGUGAGCGAAGAAGUAUUUCGGUAUGUAAAGCUCUAUCAGCAGGGAAG
This 439-nucleotide ribosomal RNA is filed under the name uncultured bacterium. Its description in RNAcentral is "bacterial SSU rRNA". It matches the Rfam family "Bacterial small subunit ribosomal RNA", at positions 28 to 447 of the family's 1533-position model. The record is from RNAcentral.